UUAUAUCAGAUAAAGAGUCGAACCUGCCCAGUGAUUUUUAUUUAACGGCCGCGGUACUCUGACCGUGCAAAGGUAGCAUAAUCAUUUGCCUUAUAAUUAAAGGCUAGUAUGAACGGUUUGACAAGAAUGGGACUGUCUCUAACAAGUUUUAUAGAAUUUGGUUUUUAGGUGAAGAAACCUAAAUAAAAUUGAAAGACAAAAAGACCCUAUCGAGCUUUAAAAAAUUUCUUUGACAUUAUAAGAAAACUAGUUUCAUUGAAAAAUUUUGGUUGGGGCGACUAAGGAACAUAAAAAACUUCCUAUAAAAUACAAAAACUUUUAAGUCUUGAUCCAAAAGUUUUGAUUAACAGAAUUAGUUACCGUAGGGAUAACAGCAUAAUCUUUCUUGAGAGCUCCCAUCGAAAGAAAGGUUUGUGACCUCGAUGUUGGACUAGGGUACCCAGAAAGGUGUAGAAGCCUUCAAUGGUUGGUCUGUUCGACCA
RNAcentral lists this ribosomal RNA (482 nucleotides) under Notogillia wetherbyi. RNAcentral's name for it is "partial 16S large subunit ribosomal RNA". It matches the Rfam family "Bacterial large subunit ribosomal RNA", at positions 1834 to 2587 of the family's 2925-position model. Lineage: Eukaryota; Metazoa; Mollusca; Gastropoda; Littorinimorpha; Hydrobiidae. The record is from RNAcentral.